This 468-nucleotide ribosomal RNA is filed under the name uncultured bacterium. RNAcentral's name for it is "partial 16S ribosomal RNA". It matches the Rfam family "Bacterial small subunit ribosomal RNA", at positions 28 to 507 of the family's 1533-position model. The record is from RNAcentral.
GACGAACGCUGGCGGCGUGCUUAACACAUGCAAGUCGAACGGAAAGGCCCUGCUUUUGUGGGGUGCUCGAGUGGCGAACGGGUGAGUAACACGUGAGUAACCUGCCCUUGACUUUGGGAUAACUUCAGGAAACUGGGGCUACUACCGGAUAGGAGCUCCUGCUGCAUGGUGGGGGUUGGAAAGUUUCGGCGGUUGGGGAUGGACUCGCGGCUUAUCAGCUUGUUGGUGGGGUAGUGGCUUACCAAGGCUUUGACGGGUAGCCGGCCUGGGAGGGUGACCGGCCACAUGGGGACUGGGAUACGGCCAAGACUCCUACGGGAGGAAGCAGUGGGGAAUAUUGCACAAUGGGCGGAAGCCGAAUGCAGCAACGCCGCGGGCGGGAUGACGGCCUUCGGGUUGUAAACCGCUUUCGCCGGGGACGAAGCGGGAGUGACGGUAAUGGGUAAAGAAGCACCGGCUAACUACGUG